Molecule: non-coding RNA, 426 nt
Organism: Pelobates cultripes (western spadefoot toad)
Lineage: Eukaryota; Metazoa; Chordata; Amphibia; Anura; Pelobatidae
Source: the annotation of a GenBank genome assembly
GUGCAAUCAUCUCACAAACUCACCAUUCACUUGAGCUGUGCCACGGGCAGAUAUUUUGUUUCUUGUUUAAAUAAUUGAAAGCAUAAGAGGGGCCGCAUGCCCCUAUGUGGUGUUCUCAGUACAAAGAGCAUGUCGUUCUAUGAUAGGGAGAUGGGGAAUUUUAUGGGAAGUGAGUCCACUAGCAGAAAUGCAAGUAUGAAGGUAGGCAGCCAUCCGCUCCACCUACCUGUUUAGAGUAGCUGCAUGCCGUCCUGUCUCAGCAGCUACCUUGUAAAGUGGCCAAGCUGCAGAGAGCAUUUGUAUGGGCUUUUUUUUUUUUUUUUUUUAAAGGCGCUGUCACCUUUAAGGGUGUUUCUGAAAAGAUUCCUGAAGGUGAUAUGCUUGCUUUGGGUGUAGUUGCCCAGUAGUGCAGAGGUAAGUAGAUAU